UUAGUGGCGGACGGGUGAGUAACGCGUGGAAAACCUGCCGUAUACUGGGGGAUAACACUUAGAAAUAGGUGCUAAUACCGCAUAAGCGCACAGCUUCGCAUGAAGCGGUGUGAAAAACUCUGGUGGUGUACGAUGGUUCCGCGUCUGAUUAGCUAGUUGGUGGGGUAAUGGCCUACCAAGGCAACGAUCAGUAGCCGGCCUGAGAGGGUGAACGGCCACAUUGGGACUGAGACACGGCCCAAACUCCUACGGAAGGCAGCAG
RNAcentral lists this ribosomal RNA (262 nucleotides) under uncultured bacterium. RNAcentral describes it as "partial 16S ribosomal RNA". It matches the Rfam family "Bacterial small subunit ribosomal RNA", at positions 92 to 354 of the family's 1533-position model. The record is from RNAcentral.